Non-coding RNA from Tachysurus fulvidraco (yellow catfish), 1096 nucleotides. The record is from the annotation of a RefSeq genome assembly. Lineage: Eukaryota; Metazoa; Chordata; Actinopteri; Siluriformes; Bagridae.
AUGGGACUAGGCAGAUUUUUGUGUUACUUUACUCUAACAAUCUUCAUUCAAUAUUCCUGCAGUCAGACACUGAUCGAGUCUGAUCCAGUGAUCAUCAAACCUGAUCAGUCUCAUAAACUGACCUGCACAGCCUCUGGAUUUAACUUUGGUGGCUCAGAUAUGGCUUGGAUCAGACAGGCACUUGGAAAAGGACUAGAAUGGGUUGCUAGUAUAUACAGUAGCAGCACAUAUCACUCCAGCACUGUUCAGGGCCGUUUCACCAUCUCCAGAGACAACAGUAAAAAGCAGGUGUACCUGCAAAUGAACAGCCUGAGGACAGAAGACACUGCAGUUUAUUACUGCGCCCGUGACACACAGUGAUACUUCCCCUUAGACAUCGGUACAAAAACACAGACUUACUACUGACACAUGACAAACCCACAUUUUCAGGUGGCAGUUAAAUGAUGUAAAUCACAAUUUUAGGUAAAUUAUAGUAUGAAUAUUUUGACAAAACAUGUUUACAACUCCAAAGACAACGUAAAAUAUCACACUGGUAGGCAUGGGCAAGAGUAAUAAAGGUUUCACGUAUUUAUUGUGUUCAGCCGUGUAGCAGGACCCAACACUCCACGUGUAACAUGAGAGAGGAAAAGCCCCGAUCAUUGAUAACAUCAGGAUUUUAGAGACAGGAAAUAAAUUUAACGGGACAUGUAAAUGCAAAACAUCAUCAACCAUUGGUUUAGAAGCCUGCUCAUGUUAUGACCAAGCUAAUCUGUACCUACCAAGGUCCCAAGGGAACGGUCUGCUGGAAGCUGUUUUAGGAAAUAUAGAAGCAUAGAAGGACAGGUUCUUAUGAACAUCUCUAAAGUGAAAAUUUCCUCUACAAUUUCCCCCUUUUGUCCCUUGGACUAUACACAAAAUUUUUAUUAAUCAUUAAUCUGUAACAAAAUCUAAAAUCUAAAUGAUAUUUACCAGUAUUGUUGGUCAACUACUUAAUCCACAACAUUGUUAAUCAAUUGCUUAAACAGAUUAAAUUAAUCAGCUAGAAUACAGGUACAUGAUACCUUAAGCUAAGCUCAACAAAACCAACACAUGCUCUAUCAGAUGAAUCUCCUCCUCA